CCUACGGGAGGCAGCAGUGGGGGAUAUUGCACAAUGGGGGGAACCCUGAUGCAGCGACGCCGCGUGGGUGAAGAAGCGCCUCGGCGCGUAAAGCCCUGUCAGCAGGGAAGAAAAUGACGGUACCUGAAGAAGAAGCCCCGGCUAACUACGUGCCAGCAGCCGCGGUAAUACGUCGGGGGCAAGCGUUAUCCGGAUUUACGGGGUGGAAAGGGGGCGCAGACGGGGAUGCAAGCCAGGAGUGAAAGCCCGGGGCCCAACCCCGGGACUGCUCUUGGAGCUGCGUGGCUGGAGUGCAGGAGGGGCAGGCGGAAUUCCUGGUGUAGCGGUGAAAUGCGUAGAUAUCAGGAGGAACACCGGUGGCGAAGGCGGCCUGCUGGACUGCAACUGACGUUGAGGCCCGAAAGCGUGGGGAGCAAACAGGAUUAGAUACCCUGGUAGUC
This 440-nucleotide ribosomal RNA is filed under the name uncultured bacterium. RNAcentral describes it as "partial 16S ribosomal RNA". It matches the Rfam family "Bacterial small subunit ribosomal RNA", at positions 338 to 795 of the family's 1533-position model. The record is from RNAcentral.